GACGAACGCUGGCGGCGUGCUUAACACAUGCGAGUCGAACGGAAAGGCCCUGCUUUUGUGGGGUGCUCGAGUGGCGAACGGGUGAGUAACACGUGAGUAACCUGCCCUUGACUUUGGGAUAACUUCAGGAAACUGGGGCUAAUACCGGAUAGGAGCUCCUGCUGCAUGGUGGGGGUUGGAAAGUUUCGGCGGUUGGGGAUGGACUCGCGGCUUAUCAGCUUGUUGGUGGGGUAGUGGCUUACCAAGGCUUUGACGGGUAGCCGGCCUGAGAGGGUGACCGGCCACAUUGGGACUGGGAUACGGCCCAGACUCCUACGGGAGGCAGCGGUGGGGAAUAUUGCACAAUGGGCGGAAGCCUGAUGCAGCAACGCCGCGUGCGGGAUGACGGCCUUCGGGUUGUAAACCGCUUUCGCCUGUGACGAAGCGUGAGUGACGGUAAUGGGUAAAGAAGCACCGGCUAACUACGUG
Molecule: ribosomal RNA, 468 nt
Filed under: uncultured bacterium
Lineage: Bacteria
Description: partial 16S ribosomal RNA
Rfam family: Bacterial small subunit ribosomal RNA
Source: RNAcentral